This 220-nucleotide ribosomal RNA is filed under the name uncultured bacterium. Its description in RNAcentral is "partial 16S ribosomal RNA". It matches the Rfam family "Bacterial small subunit ribosomal RNA", at positions 524 to 740 of the family's 1533-position model. The record is from RNAcentral.
UACGUAGGGUGCGAGCGUUAAUCGGAAUUACUGGGCGUAAAGCGUGCGCAGGCGGUUUUGUAAGUCUGUCGUGAAAUCCCCGGGCUCAACCUGGGAAUUGCGAUGGAGACUGCAAGGCUAGAAUCUGGCAGAGGGGGUAGAAUUCCACGUGUGAGCAGUGAAAAUGCGUAGAAGAGUGUGGAGGAACACCGAUGGCGAAGCAGGCCCCCUGGGUCGAAGA